AGCAGCACUGGGAAUGUUUUUCUGAGCAUUGCAUGGGGUUAUGAGAUGAGCGUACUAUCUUUUUAUGUUUUAGAACAUCCAAAAUCAAGGACUGCAGAAUGAGACAUCAAUCUAUUUCAUAUAUUACAUAAAAAUGUCAAAAGAAUUUUAUUUCUUUAAAAGAGCGGUGCAGAAUAGACUGGAAGAUGAUACAUUUUUGACAUUGUGCGAACUUGUAGAGUCCUGGACUCAAAAUGACUUGAUGGCAAUCUUCUUUAUAAUUUUCCUAGGAAUUAUUUUUGAGAUCAUCCUCAUAAAGAUUUAUACAUUCUUUCAUAAGAAGCCUGCACUUCCAGAAAAGGGUAGUUCAGGUGCCCAGGAGAAGAAAGACAGUUGCCUGAAAAGCCUGGAAUUUGAUAACUGGUCAUUUCAUCCAUCUUCAUCUUCGGAAAAAAGAUUCAGAGUUGAUGACUUUUCAGAAAGAACAGUGACUUCAUCACUUACAACUGAAGACAGUGAAGGCAACUUUGAAGAUAGAGUUUCACUAGCAGAUAAAGUACUAUGGUCAAGUGCCAGUGAAAGUAAACAUCAAGAGAGGAGUAGAGACAUGGAGAUCCUCUUUCCAUCGCACACCAAUGACUGAGGAUGAGUUGAAGGAAAUGGAGCCUAUAAAUGAGACUGGCAGAGGACCAGAGCAUUGGGAGGGCAUCGAGGGAGAGAGUGUUCUUAAACAGCAGUGAGGGGUCAAUAAUGCCAGAGGUCAUGAAAUACAGGAGUAAGUACUGAUUUUGAG
Molecule: long non-coding RNA, 772 nt
Organism: Suricata suricatta (meerkat)
Lineage: Eukaryota; Metazoa; Chordata; Mammalia; Carnivora; Herpestidae
Source: Ensembl